CAGCCGCCGCGGUAAUACGAAGGGGGCUAGCGUUGUUCGGAUUUACUGGGCGUAAAGGGUGCGUAGGCGGACUGAUAAGUCAGGGGUGAAAUCCCAAGGCUCAACCUUGGAACUGCCUUUGAUACUGUUAGUCUUGAGUUCGAGAGAGGUGAGUGGAACUGCGAGUGUAGAGGUGAAAUUCGUAGAUAUUCGCAAGAACACCAGUGGCGAAGGCGGCUCACUGGCUCGAAACUGACGCUGAGGCACGAAAGCGUGGGGAGCAAACAGGAUUAGAUACCCGAGUAGUCCCUGUCUCUUAUAC
Molecule: ribosomal RNA, 301 nt
Filed under: uncultured bacterium
Lineage: Bacteria
Description: partial 16S ribosomal RNA
Rfam family: Bacterial small subunit ribosomal RNA
Source: RNAcentral